RNAcentral lists this ribosomal RNA (447 nucleotides) under uncultured bacterium. Its description in RNAcentral is "bacterial SSU rRNA". It matches the Rfam family "Bacterial small subunit ribosomal RNA", at positions 29 to 506 of the family's 1533-position model. The record is from RNAcentral.
GCGAACGCUAGCGGCGGGCCUAACACAUGCAAGUCGAGCGGGGAGCAAUCCCAGCGGCGGACGGGUGAGUAACACGUAGGUAAUGUGCCUCAAGGUGGGGAAUAACACCGGGAAACCGGUGCUAAUACCGCAUAUGUCGAGAGAUGAAAGCAGCAAUGCGCCAUGAGAGCAGCCUGCGUCCGAUUAUUUAUUCCUAGUUGGUGAGGUAAUGGCUCACCAAGGGUACGAUCGGUAGCUGGUCUGAGAGGAUGAUCAGCCACACUGGAACUGAGACACGGUCCAGACUCCUACGGGAGGCAGCAGUGGGGAAUAUUGCGCAAUGGGCGAAAGCCUGACGCAGCCACGCCGCGUGAGUGAUGAAGGCCUUCGGGUUGUAAAGCUCUGUCGGGAGGGAAGAAGGGAGCAAUCUCUGACGGUACCUCGCAAGAAAGCACCGGCUAACUCUGU